AAUAGAUACCCUGGUAGUCCACGCCGUAAACGAUGGACACUAGCUGUGGGGCCCUCGGGCUCCGUGGCCAAGCGAAAGUGAUAAGUGUCCCACCUGGGGAGUACGGCCGCAAGGCUGAAACUCAAAGGAAUUGACGGGGGCCCGCACAAGCGGUGGAGCAUGUGGUUUAAUUCGAUGAUACGCGAGGAACCUUACCAGGGCUUGAACGCAUUGCGACGGGGGCGGAGACGCCCUUUCCUUCGGGCGCUCUGCGAGGUGCUGCAUGGUUGUCGUCAGCUCGUGCCGUGAGGUGUCAGGUUAAGUCCUAUAACGAGCGCAACCCCUACCGUUAGUUGCCAUCGGGUAAAGCCGGGGACUCUAGCGGGACUGCCGGUGCAAACCGCGAGGAAGGCGGGGACGACGUCAAAUCAUCACGGCCCUUACGCCCUGGGCCACACACGUGCUACAAUGGCCGGCACAACGGGCUGCCACGCCGCAAGGCGGAGCGAAUCCACAAAGCCGGUCACAGUUCGGAUCGGGGUCUGCAACCCGACCCCGUGAAG
Molecule: ribosomal RNA, 542 nt
Filed under: uncultured bacterium
Lineage: Bacteria
Description: bacterial SSU rRNA
Rfam family: Bacterial small subunit ribosomal RNA
Source: RNAcentral